GUGCCAGCAGCCGCGGUAAUACGUAGGGGACAAGCGUUGUCCGGAUUUACUGGGCGUAAAGGGCACGCAGGCGGUUUUUUAAGUCAGAUGUGAAAGGUACCGGCUCAACCGGUGACAUGCAUUUGAAACUGAAAGACUUGAGUAUUGGAGAGGCAAGUGGAAUUCCUAGUGUAGCGGUGAAAUGCGUAGAUAUUAGGAGGAACACCGGUGGCGAAGGCGGCUUGCUGGACAAAUACUGACGCUGAGGUGCGAAAGCGUGGGGAGCAAACACGAUUAGAUACCCUGGUAGUCCACGCCGUAAACGAUGAGUGCUAGGUGUUGGGGAGACUCAGUGCCGCAGCUAACGCAAUAAGCACUCCGCCUGGGGAGUACGACCGCAAGGUUGAAACUCAAAGGAAUUGACGGGGACCCGCACAAGCAGCGGAGCAUGUGGUUUAAUUCGAAGCAACGCGAAGAACCUUACCAGGUCUUGACAUCCUCUGACCAUCUGAGAGAUCAGACUUUCCCUUCGGGGACAGAGAGACAGGUGGUGCAUGGUUGUCGUCAGCUCGUGUCGUGAGAUGUUGGGUUAAGUCCCGCAACGAGCGCAACCCCUGUGGUUAGUUGCCAUCAUUUAGUUGGGCACUCUAAGCAGACUGCCGUGGAUAACACGGAGGAAGGUGGGGACGACGUCAAAUCAUCAUGCCCCUUAUGACCUGGGCUACACACGUGCUACAAUGGUCUGAACAGAGGGCUGCGAAACCGCGAGGUGAAGCUAAUCCCUUAAAACAGAUCUCAGUUCGGAUUGCAGGCUGCAACUCGCCUGCAUGAAGUUGGAGUUGCUAGUAAUCGCAGAUCAGAAUGCUGCGGUGAAUGCGUUCCCGGGUCUUGUACACACCGCCCGUCACACCACGAGAGUUGGCAACACCCGAAGUCAGUGAGGCAACCGUAAGGAGCCAGCUGCCGAAGGUGGGGUCAGUAAUUGGGGUGAAGUCGUAACAAGGUAACCGU
Molecule: ribosomal RNA, 990 nt
Filed under: uncultured bacterium
Lineage: Bacteria
Description: bacterial SSU rRNA
Rfam family: Bacterial small subunit ribosomal RNA
Source: RNAcentral